RNAcentral lists this unclassified non-coding RNA (4058 nucleotides) under Hevea brasiliensis (rubber tree). The record is from RNAcentral. Lineage: Eukaryota; Viridiplantae; Streptophyta; Magnoliopsida; Malpighiales; Euphorbiaceae.
UGGAGGAGGAGGUGGUGGAGUAGGUGGUGUUGGUACUUCACAGAAAUUAACUACCAAUGAUGCCUUAACAUAUCUCAAGGAAGUGAAGGACAUGUUUCAAGACCAGAGGGAAAAAUAUGACAUGUUCCUUGAGGUUAUGAAAGAUUUCAAGGCUCAAAGAACUGACACUGCUGGUGUCAUUGCAAGAGUGAAAGAGUUGUUCAAGGGUCAUAACAACUUAAUCUUUGGAUUUAACACUUUCUUACCCAAGGGAUAUGAGAUAACCCUCGAUGAGGAUGAGGCUCCACCAAAGAAAACAGUUGAAUUUGAAGAAGCUAUCAAUUUUGUAAACAAAAUAAAGAAACGUUUCCAAAAUGAUGAACAUGUUUAUAAAUCAUUCCUAGACAUUUUGAAUAUGUAUCGGAAGGAACACAAGGACAUAGAUGAGGUCUACAGUGAGGUUUCUAGUCUUUUUGAGGAACACCAAGAUUUGCUUGAUGAGUUCACUAGAUUUUUACCAGAUGCUUCAGUGACGCCUAUGAUUCAAAAUGCUCCAUAUGGCCGAAGUUCCAUUCAGCGUUACAAUGAGCGGAACUCUACUACACCCACCUUGCGGCAAAUGCAUAUGGACAAGGUGAUUGCAAUUAUUUCAUGCCUUUUUUCUUUUUCUCUUUUCCAAUUUUUCUGAAGAUUGGGCAUGGGUACUAGCAUUACUUAACUGGAUAUAUCAUAUAUUCUAUAAGGGUGAAAUUAUUUAUUUAACUUUAUGUAAAAUAAGUUAUUUCAUCUGUGCUAAAUGGAUUCUUAAUUGUGAGCAAAUGAAUCUCUUUUAGCAACGUCGGCGGGAUAGGAUUGUUACUUCUAAUGCAGAUCGCGAUCUUAGUGUUGAUCGACCUGAGCUGGAUGAUGAUAAAGCAAUGAUGAAAGUGCAAAAAGAACAGAGAAAGCGUGUUGAGAAGGAAAAUAGAGAUAGGAGAAAUCGUGAACAAGAUGAUAGGGAGCCUGAGCACGAUAGCAAUAGGGACUUCAGCUUGCAUUGUUUUCCCGAUAAAAAGAAAUCUGCCCGGAAGGUUGAAGGUUUUGGAAUGAACUCGAACAUUUCUUCUUAUGAUGACAAAGAUAAUUUAAAGAGUAUGUACAACCAAGGAUUCAUAUUCUGUGAGAAAGUCAAGGAGAAGUUAGGCAGUUCAGAUGAUUACCAAGCAUUUUUAAAGUGCCUUAAUAUUUACAGCAAUGGUAUAAUAAAAAAGAAUGAUUUACAAAAUCUGGUGGCUGAUUUACUUGGAAAGUAUCCUGAUCUUAUGGAGGAGUUCAAUGAUUUCUUUGAGCGAUGUGAGAAUAUUGAUGGGUUCCUUGCUGGUGUUAUGAGUAAAAAAUCACCGGGUAGUGAUGGACAUAUAUCCAGACCAUUGAAAUUGGAGGACAAAGAUAAAGAGCAGAAGCGUGAAUUGGAUGGAACUAAAGAUAAGGAAAGAAACAGGGAGAAGUAUAUGGCAAAAUCCAUUCAAGAGCUUGACCUUUCUAACUGUCAACGUUGUACUCCCAGCUACCGGCUUCUGCCAGAUGAUUAUCCCAUACCUUCAGCAAGCCAGAGAUCAGAGCUUGGUGCCCAAGUAUUGAAUGAUCACUGGGUCUCUGUGACUUCAGGAAGUGAGGAUUAUUCUUUUAAACAUAUGCGCAGAAAUCAAUAUGAAGAAAGUUUGUUCAGAUGUGAAGAUGAUAGAUUUGAGCUGGACAUGUUGUUGGAGUCUGUGACCUCCACAGCUAUACGUGCAGAGGAGUUGUUGAACAGCAUCAAUGAAAAUAAAAUAGACACUCCAAUCCAUAUCGAAGACCAUUUUACUGCUCUAAAUUUAAGGUGCAUCGAGCGUUUAUAUGGUGACCAUGGUCUUGAUGUCAUGGACAUAUUGCGUAAAAACCCAUCUCUUGCACUACCUGUUAUAUUAACUCGCUUAAAACAGAAACAAGAAGAGUGGACCAGGUGUCGAGCAGAUUUUAACAAGGUCUGGGCUGAAAUUUAUGCAAAAAACCAUUACAAAUCACUGGAUCACCGCAGCUUUUAUUUCAAGCAACAAGAUUCAAAGAACUUGAGCACAAGAUCGUUGGUCUCUGAGAUCAAGGAAUUGAAAGAAAAGCAACAGAAAGAGGAUGAUGUUCUGUUAGCUUUUGCUGCUGGAAAUCGAAAACCUGUGGUUCCACAUUUGGAGUAUGAAUACUCUGAUAUGAGCAUUCAUGAAGACUUGUUUAAACUUGUUGAAUACUCAUGUGAAGAGGUUUGCUCAACCAAAGAUCAAUUGAGUAAAGUUAUGAGGCUCUGGACUACAUUCAUGGAGCCAAUGCUUGGCAUUGUUCAGCGUUCUAAUGGUCUGGAAAGUUCUGAAGAUGACAAAAAAGUUGGGCAUCAAGCUACGAAUUGCCCUACAUCAAGCAUGGUAGAAAAUGGUGGUGGUUCUGCCACAUUGAAUUCUAAGCAGCCAAAAUCAACUAGUAAUGGAGAGGAAAACACUUCACCGGAACUAGCAAACUCUUGCAGGCCAAGUUUGGCAAAUGGAGAUAAUUUGGCUAAAGAUAGUUUACUCGAAUUAGAUCGUGUUAGUAAAGAUGAUCAGACAUGUAAUAUGUUUAGGGUAGAAAAGGCGCACACAGAUGUGGAUGUGACCAACAGAAUGUCUGGAUUCAACACACAAGUUGCCUCUGUUCAGGGCGUAGCUGAUUCAAAAAUAUCACUUGUGGUGGGAGCUCAACAAAGUCAUGGGAGAACAAACAUCAGUGGGAUGGCAGGAUCUGGUUCGACACAGUCCAUGCCUGGCAGUGGUGCUCUUGAGGAUCAUAAAUUCCAAGAUAGCAUUGAUAUUGGACCUUCAUCAGAGGUGCUUCAGGAUGGGAUUGGUGCAAAAUCUGUUUUACCAGCUAAUGGAGGAUUGAUGGAUAGCACUAAAUGCAGUAGAUAUCAUGAAGAAUCCACUGGACCCUCCAAAACAGAAAAGGAGGAGGGUGAGUUAUCUCCCAAUUGUGAUUUUGAGGAGGACAAUUUUGCUGUCUAUGGGGAUAAUGGCUUGCAGGCAUUGCCUAAGGGAAAGCAUAGCAGUGAAAGCAGGCAAAAUGAAUCUGGAAAUGGGAAAGAGUUACGCUGUCAGGAUGCUGGAGCUGAAAAUGAUGUUGAUGCAGAUGCUGAUGAUGAGGAUAGUGAUAAUGCUUCUGAGGCUGCUGAUGAUGCAUCUGGCAGUGAGUCGGCAGGUGAUGAAUGCUCCCGUGAAGAGCAUGAAGAGGAUGAAGAUGUAGAACAUGAUAAUGUUGACGGGAAGGCUGAAAGUGAAGGUGAGGCUGAGGGGUUGGCUGAUGCACAGUUUGCGGGAGAUGUGCCAUUACCAGAACGUUUUCUUUUGUCUGUGAAGCCUCUUGUGAAGCAUGUUCCAGCAAGUUUAGUUGAUGGGGAAAGGAAGGAAUCUCGGAAAUUCUAUGGAAAUGAUGAUUUCUAUGUGCUUUUUAGGCUUCACCAGACCCUCUAUGAAAGAAUAUUAUCAGCAAAAACUAAUUCAACUUGUGCUGAAAUGAAAUGGAGAACUUCUAAAGAUGCCAGUUCUUCAAAUCCCUAUGCCAGAUUUAUGAGUGCACUGUACAAUUUGCUUGAUGGAUCUGCUGAUAAUGCCAAGUUUGAAGAUGAAUGCAGAGCUAUUAUUGGAAAUCAAUCUUAUGUGUUAUUCACACUGGACAAGUUAAUAUAUAAAUUGGUCAAACAGCUUCAAACUGUUGCAACUGAUGAUAUGGACAAUAAACUUCUUCAAUUAUAUGAGUAUGAGAAUUCCCGUAAAGCUGGGACGUCAGUUGACUCAGUUUAUUACGAUAAUGCACGUUUCCUUUUGCAUGAAGAGAAUAUUUAUCGCUUGGAAUUUUCAUCUUCUCCAUCUCGUUUGUCAAUCCAGCUCAUGGACAAUGUAACUGAGAAGCCUGAGGUGUUGGCAGUUGCCAUGGAUCCUAAUUUUUCAGCAUAUUUGCACAAUGAUUUUCUGUCCAUCUUUCCUAGCAAAAAGGAGCCACAUGGUAUUGCGCUGCUGAGAAACAAACGGAAAUACAAAGGC